This 484-nucleotide ribosomal RNA is filed under the name uncultured bacterium. RNAcentral describes it as "partial 16S ribosomal RNA". It matches the Rfam family "Bacterial small subunit ribosomal RNA", at positions 29 to 507 of the family's 1533-position model. The record is from RNAcentral.
AGUGAACGCUGGCGGCAGGCCUAACACAUGCAAGUCGAGCGGAUGAAGGGAGAGUGCUCGUGGAUUCAGCGGCGGACGGGUGAGUAAUGCCUAGGAAUCUGCCUGGUAGUGGGGGAUAACGUCCGGAAACGGGCGCUAAUACCGCAUACGUGCUGAGGGAGAAAGUGUGAGAUCUUCGGACCUCACGCUAUCAGAUGAGCCUAGGUCGGAUUAGCUAGUUGGUGGGGUAAAGGCCUACCAAGGCGACGAUCCGUAACUGGUCUGAGAGGAUGAUCAGUCACACUGGAACUGAGACACGGUCCAGACUCCUACGGGAGGCAGCAGUGGGGAAUAUUGGACAAUGGGCGAAAGCCUGAUCCAGCCAUGCCGCGUGUGUGAAGAAGGUCUUCGGAUUGUAAAGCACUUUAAGUUGGGAGGAAGGGCAGUAAGUUAAUACCUUGCUGUUUUGACGUUACCAACAGAAUAAGCACCGGCUAACUUCGUG